GACUUUCACUCUUCAAAUCGCUCGUUUAGGAACCAAGUUCCUCUCCUCUUCCUUCUUCAUUUGGGGCAGUUCGAGCUUGCCCUAGAAUCAUCCCCUCUUCUCCAAACCGAUGAUUUAACUCCUCAAAUCCUUGCCUUUUUCCUUCCAAAAUCCUUUCCUCUCUGCCUCACAUUUAGUCUCCUAAGCUCCUUUCAAGUCUCUCUUAACCUAAUGGCUCCCAAAAUGAAGCUUCAACAGAGGAGAAAAUCUAUUCGUGGGUUGGAAGAGAGUGUGCGCAGAAAGAGAUUAGCAGCCG
This 295-nucleotide long non-coding RNA is filed under the name Elaeis guineensis (African oil palm). RNAcentral describes it as "long non-coding RNA (EGUI_LNC040876)". Lineage: Eukaryota; Viridiplantae; Streptophyta; Magnoliopsida; Arecales; Arecaceae. The record is from RNAcentral.